GAUAAACGCUGGCGGCGUGCAUAACACAUGCAAGUCGAACGAAGUGGCGAACGGGUGAGUAACACGUGAGUAACCUGCCUUACACAAGGGGAUAGACUUUGGAAACGAAGAAUACUACACUAUAGUGUAAGAUGGACUUGCGUCUGAGUAGCUAGUUGGUGAGAUAAAAGCCCACCACGGCGACGAUCAGGAGCCGGCUUGGUAGAGUGUACGGCCACAUGGGGACUGAGACACGGCCCAAACUCUCCGGGAGGCAGCAGUGGGGAAUUUUGCACAAUGGGGGAAACCCUGAUGCAGCGACGCCGCGUGAUUUAGAAGGCCUUCGGGUUGUAAAAAUCUUGUUUAUGGGAUGCAGGACCAUAAGAAUAAGGUCCGGCUAAAUACGUGCCAGCAGCCGCGGUAAUUC
Molecule: ribosomal RNA, 406 nt
Filed under: uncultured bacterium
Lineage: Bacteria
Description: partial 16S ribosomal RNA
Rfam family: Bacterial small subunit ribosomal RNA
Source: RNAcentral